This 675-nucleotide ribosomal RNA is filed under the name uncultured bacterium. RNAcentral describes it as "bacterial SSU rRNA". It matches the Rfam family "Bacterial small subunit ribosomal RNA", at positions 56 to 721 of the family's 1533-position model. The record is from RNAcentral.
UGCAGUCGAACGGCAGCAUGACCUAGCUUGCUAGGUUGAUGGCGAGUGGCGAACGGGUGAGUAAUGCAUCGGAACGUGCCUUUUAGUGGGGGAUAACGUAGCGAAAGUUACGCUAAUACCGCAUAUUCUCUGAGGAGGAAAGCAGGGGACCUUCGGGCCUUGCGCUAGAAGAGCGGCCGAUGUCGGAUUAGCUAGUUGGUGAGGUAAAGGCUCACCAAGGCAACGAUCCGUAGCGGGUCUGAGAGGAUGAUCCGCCACACUGGGACUGAGACACGGCCCAGACUCCUACGGGAGGCAGCAGUGGGGAAUUUUGGACAAUGGGCGCAAGCCUGAUCCAGCCAUGCCGCGUGAGUGAAGAAGGCCUUCGGGUUGUAAAGCUCUUUCGGCUGGGAAGAAAUCGCACUCUCUAAUACAGGGUGUGGAUGACGGUACCAGCAUAAGAAGCACCGGCUAACUACGUGCCAGCAGCCGCGGUAAUACGUAGGGUGCGAGCGUUAUUCGGAAUUACUGGGCGUAAAGCGUGCGCAGGCGGUUGUGUAAGACAGACGUGAAAUCCCCGGGCUCAACCUGGGAACUGCGUUUGUGACUGCACGGCUAGAGUACGGCAGAGGGGGGUGGAAUUCCACGUGUAGCAGUGAAAUGCGUAGAGAUGUGGAGGAACACCGAUGGCGAAGG